UGGGGAAUUUUGGACAAUGGGCGCAAGCCUGAUCCAGCCAUGCCGCGUGCGGGAAGAAGGCCUUCGGGUUGUAAACCGCUUUUGUCAGGGAAGAAAUCUUCUGAGUUAAUACCUCGGGAGGAUGACGGUACCUGAAGAAUAAGCACCGGCUAACUACGUGCCAGCAGCCGCGGUAAUACGUAGGGUGCAAGCGUUAAUCGGAAUUACUGGGCGUAAAGCGUGCGCAGGCGGUUUUGUAAGACAGAGGUGAAAUCCCCGGGCUCAACCUGGGAACUGCCUUUGUGACUGCAAGGCUUGAGUGCGGCAGAGGGGGGCAUGGAAUUCCGCGUGUAGCAGUGGAAAUUGCGUAGAUAUGCGGAGGAACACCGAUGGCGAAGGCAAUCCCCUGGGCCUGCA
RNAcentral lists this ribosomal RNA (396 nucleotides) under uncultured bacterium. RNAcentral describes it as "partial 16S ribosomal RNA". It matches the Rfam family "Bacterial small subunit ribosomal RNA", at positions 355 to 739 of the family's 1533-position model. The record is from RNAcentral.